AUGCUCACUUUGGCAACACAUAUACUAAAUUGGAACACAGAGAAGAUCAGUAUGGCCCCUGCACAGGGAUGACAUGCACAUUUGUAAAGCGUUCCACAUUUUU
Molecule: small nuclear RNA, 103 nt
Organism: Cervus hanglu yarkandensis (Yarkand deer)
Lineage: Eukaryota; Metazoa; Chordata; Mammalia; Artiodactyla; Cervidae
Source: Ensembl